GUUGGGGAUCCCAGAACAGGACUCAGUACUCCAGUCUCUAGCCUAAUCCAAUCUAGCACCGGGGUAAAGAAGGAUGCUAUGGCACCAUAGCAAGGAGGGCAUACUCCAUAGUGACCACUACUAAGGUAAGACUCGAAGAUUCCUCAGCUUUUUCAACAGGAUUUAUCUGAAGACUCAUUCUUGAUGUCAUCACAGCGAGCUAUCAAGUAGCAGUUAUCUUAAAGGGAUUUGAAUAUCCUUUCAAUUGUAUUAGUAUAAAUAAAUGAUAGCUGUGUUGCAUGUACAAAUGAGUAGAAUUUACAGGAAAGAAAAAAAAAACAAAAAAUUUAAUGCAUGGUCAACCUUGCUUCCUUUUCAAAAUAUGCAGCCUGAUGUGGUCAACAUUUGUAGCUGCCUCCAUUCUUUCUUUGUGGAGUAAAGCAGAUUUUUGCCAUGCUAAUUUUUUUGUUUUGUUUUGGAACAAAGUGACAUUGAGGUCUUAGUCUAAUGUAUGAGCACUGUCCUUCUUUGGUCUUACAAAGUUGUCAGUGCUUGCAAUAUCUUAGGAUCAGAAGAUGCAGUAUCUCACUUACCAGAAGGAAAAUGGCCUGCUGUAGGAAAUCUUACAGCUAUAAAUGAAGUCCUAUGCCCAAUGAUUCAUUCUGUAGACCUCAUUUGACUCUGCGCAAUGUCUUUAACUGGACAGAUCCAAACCUCUAGAAUUUGUGUUUAUGAAGGAGGAGGGAUAGCUAAAGCCCUAGUAACUCUCCUGCACAGCUGUGACUGGAGGGAAUCAUGGGCUGAGAGCCCAACCAAUGAAGCAAAGUUUUAUUUUCGUCUCUGCAGCUGACCUGGAUGUCCAGUCCUGGAUAUGUUGCAAGGGUGUGAAAGGGGUAGAAUUUCUGAAUCCUGAUAUGUUUUAUUGUGGAUAGUGAAAGUUCUUCCUUAAUCCUUGGUCUUGUUUUUGAAAUUCACUCUUUUUGAGAACUGGAUAUCUCUGUACUAGGUCAAUGCCACGGACAUCAAGGUCUUUCCCCAGAUGACUGAGCGCUUUGGGAAUUCCCUACCCUGAUCCAAGCAAGAUGCUAAGAGAUUCACUGGCAUUGCUCAGUGGAGUUCCCCGGCAUCAUUCUCAAGAACUGGAUCACUAUGUAUGAGGCUUUGUUCUUGGAAAAAGGGAGUGUGCAGGAUGCCAAAUUUGAUCUGUGAUUACAGGCAGAAACAUUUAAUAUGAAUAAUUGGUCUAUCUUCUAUUUGCAGAGAGUACUGGUUGAGCCAGCUUGUUCAGAAAGAAAGAGUGGAAAGAGGGAAAUUACUAUUGAAAGCCAAAUUUUCAAAUAGCUUAAAAAUACACCAUACAUUGUUUUUCUGUAAACUGCUAAAUCUGAAUAUUCAUUGUAAAACUGCUCUCCUGGUUACACUCUCUUCCAAGAAGAAUUAUUCUUUCCAGUACCAUCUUGACAGCCCUGCAGCCAUGCAGUCUCUCUUUGCAGUGCCAAAAUUGCAGCAGAACAGUUCCAGUUUUAUCAUGCAGAGCAAAGCAUGUACUAUUCAUAUUCUGUAGUAGCCACAGUAGUUGUCCCUGUGUCUGCUGUUCACCAAAACUUAAUCCAUUGCUGGGAAUUUUCACUGCAUGUAGAAAGUUGAUCCACAUGAGAGCAAGCGCUGACAAAAACAAACAAACAAACAAAAAAACACCUAUAUUCUUUAUAAUAUAUAUUUAUAAAUAUGUAAGUAUAUAUAUAUGCUAAAGUAUUUUCUAGUAUGUCUUUUAGCACCCUAAUAUUUUAUAAUCUAAUACGUACCAGUAACCUUUCCCAUACAGAAUGUGACCAGUAAAUGUACUGACAUUGCUGGUAAGAGCUCUGAAAUGUAACUGCAGUUCAAGUUUCAGACAAACUGGAAGAGUUUGUAAAAACCCCAUGGUGUGAAACAAAAAUUUUCAGGCUUAAACACUAUAAAUUUCUUUCACUGUUCUUCUUGCUGAGUGUAUCCACCUAUAUGACUAAAAGCAUAUGUGAUUGGGAGGUAAUUCUCAGACACAAUGCUUGUAUCUUUUUGUGAAUGGUGCUGAGUUCUUACAAAUCUUUUGAUUUGGAGUGGCAGGAAAUGAACUAUGGCAUAGCUAUACCCAUGCAGGCUGCUGCAGGCUGUCUGCAGCUCCUUGUCUUGGUCAGCGGGCUCAGGCCACUGCUGUCCUCAAAUGACUUUGAACCAGCCUGUCUACAAAAACAAAGUUAGCGUUCCACUGCAAGUCCUCUCAGUAGCAGAUGCUCCUGCUUUGGCUUCAGGACAAGUUGUGUCUUGUAUCUCUGGUGUACAUGAUGUAUUGGUUUGCAUUCAUAGGUGUUAGAGCUCUUUCUCAAAAGAAAAUAACUCCUCUAUAGGGCCUCACAGAGCUCCAUGGUAACCUUCUGGUGACUUUUUGUUUCUAAACAAAUGUUUUUGUAUAUGAAUUUUAUUUUAUUUUUUUAAAGAAACGUAUACAAGUCUGGUAAUUUGCAAUUUCUUUUACUAGCAUUGUACUAACCAUGGUGGAAUGACCAGAAAUAAAAGACACACAGUUCACAUUGUACCUUGUAGUUCCAUUAAGCAGACAGUGGGAAGCAAUUUGAAGUAAGUGAUUUGUAAAGCAGUUCAUUUAAAACAUAAUUUUUUAGACAGCUUGGUGAAAUUCACCAGUAAGUUUUUAAAGAAAAAAAACAAACAAACAACAGCAACAAAAAUCCAACCUGACAAAGCUUUGAAGAUUGAUUCUUACCACAGUUUGAGUAUAUUAUAGUUUAAAUCUACUGCAAUCCCAAAACUUGAAUGUAUUUGUGCACAUGCUGUGAAAGGGCAUGAUUUCUUUAUCUGUGUACUCUUAUGGAUUAGCGCGUACAGGCACAACCCAGCCUGAUGUUCCUGUGUGACUAAUGAGUACAGCUUCCUGACCAGUCUCAAAGACUGGGAGCUACCAUGCCUUCCUGUGCAUAAGCCAUGAUCACAACUGAAGCCACAAGUUUGUGACGUGUUUGAUUGACAGCUUACUGAUAGACCAACCAGCUCUAAUUGCAUUCCAGUUACUCCUGACUGCUCCUUUUCAAUCUAUCUAUCACGAUGCUGCCAAAGACAGAAAUAAGCUACAGAACUGCACAACCAGCAGCAGUCUGUAUUUGAUAUUCUGACCCGGUACUCCCAAGUUGAAUCACCUGAUGUAGCACUUGAUCCUUAGCUCCUUUCCCCCUCAGAUAAACACUGCAGCGGUAAUUCCUGCUGCAGGAAUGUUCUUUCAUAAACGCUUUUGAAGUGAGGGAACCUGAUCUCUUUUAAGAUAAUAUAUUAUUGGUUAGAUUUCAUUGGAAGAGGAUCCUCCAUAAACCUUGCCUAUUGUUUUCUCUCCAGACUAAAAGUUCAGUCAACCGAAACCUUAGUCCUUAGGGGAGCACUGAUGGUACUUCUAAUCGUAAGUGGAAUAUUUAGAAAGCUUUUCUUUCAUCUAAUAAAACCAUCCCCUUCUCUGCCAGCUCAGCUGACUAUGCCACUUUCACAAGUUGGAAAUAGCCUCAUGAUCUGCUGAUUUCUCUGUCAUGUCUUCCAGUAUUUGGUCUAAAUUAUCACAAGAAAAUCUAACUAAAGCUUAUUUUGCUGAAGUCUAUGGUUUUUACUUCCAUAUAAAGUUGAAGGUGUCAGAACUAAUGUUUUUGAUGUUUCAAUAUUUACUUUAGUCCUCCCAUGUAGUUCACUAAGACUAGCUGAAAUAUAAAUGCUAUAAUUUAUUACA
This is a long non-coding RNA of Lagopus leucura (white-tailed ptarmigan), 3742 nucleotides long. RefSeq lists it as uncharacterized. The transcript is spliced from 2 exons. NCBI's taxonomy places the organism in Eukaryota, Metazoa, Chordata, Aves, Galliformes, Phasianidae. The record is from RefSeq and is a predicted model, not a curated record.